RNAcentral lists this ribosomal RNA (497 nucleotides) under uncultured bacterium. Its description in RNAcentral is "partial 16S ribosomal RNA". It matches the Rfam family "Bacterial small subunit ribosomal RNA", at positions 28 to 507 of the family's 1533-position model. The record is from RNAcentral.
GACGAACGCUGGCGGCGUGCCUAAUACAUGCAAGUAGAACGCUGAAGAGAGGAGCUUGCUCUUCUUGGAUGAGUUGCGAACGGGUGAGUAACGCGUAGGUAACCUGCCUUGUAGCGGGGGAUAACUAUUGGAAACGAUAGCUAAUACCGCAUAACAAUGGAUGACACAUGUCAUUUAUUUGAAAUGGGCAAUUGCUCCACUACAAGAUGGACCUGCGUUGUAUUAGCUAGUAGGUGAGGUAAUGGCUCACCUAGGCGACGAUACAUAGCCGCCCUGAGAGGGUGAUCGGCCACACUGGGACUGAGACACGGCCCAGACUCCUACGGGAGGCAGCAGUAGGGAAUCUUCGGCAAUGGGGGCAACCCUGACCGAGCAACGCCGCGUGAGUGAAGAAGGUUUUCGGAUCGUAAAGCUCUGUUGUAAGUCAAGAACGGGUGUGAGAGUGGAAAGUUCACACUGUGACGGUAGCUUACCAGAAAGGGACGGCUAACUACGUG